Molecule: ribosomal RNA, 497 nt
Filed under: uncultured bacterium
Lineage: Bacteria
Description: partial 16S ribosomal RNA
Rfam family: Bacterial small subunit ribosomal RNA
Source: RNAcentral
GAUGAACGCUGGCGGCGUGCCUAAUACAUGCAAGUCGAGCGAACAGAUGAGGAGCUUGCUCCUCUGACGUUAGCGGCGGACGGGUGAGUAACACGUGGAUAACCUACCUAUAAGACUGGGAUAACUUCGGGAAACCGGAGCUAAUACCGGAUAAUAUAUUGAACCGCAUGGUUCAAUAGUGAAAGACGGUUUUGCUGUCACUUAUUGAUGGAUCCGCGCCGCAUUAGCUAGUUGGUAAGGUAACGGCUUACCAAGGCAACGAUGCGUAGCCGACCUGAGAGGGUGAUCGGCCACACUGGAACUGAGACACGGUCCAGACUCCUACGGGAGGCAGCAGUAGGGAAUCUUCCGCAAUGGGCGAAAGCCUGACGGAGCAACGCCGCGUGAGUGAUGAAGGUCUUCGGAUCGUAAAACUCUGUUAUUAGGGAAGAACAAAUGCGUAAGUAACUAUGCACGUCUUGACGGUACCUAAUCAGAAAGCCACGGCUAACUACGUG